Molecule: ribosomal RNA, 468 nt
Filed under: uncultured bacterium
Lineage: Bacteria
Description: partial 16S ribosomal RNA
Rfam family: Bacterial small subunit ribosomal RNA
Source: RNAcentral
GACGAACGCUGGCGGCGUGCUUAACACAUGCAAGUCGAACGGAAAGGCCCUGCUUUUGCGGGGUGCUCGAGUGGCGAACGGGUGAGUAACACGUGAGUAUCCUGCCCUUGACUUUGGGAUAACUUCAGGAAACUGGGGCUAAUACCGGAUAGGAGCUCCUGCUGCAUGGUGGGGGUUGGAAAGCUUCGGCGGGUGGGGAUGGACUUGCGGGUUAUCAGCUUGUUGGUGGGGUAUCGGCUUACCAAGGCUUUGACUGGUAGCCGGCCUGAGAGGGUGACCGGCCACAUUGGGACUGAGAUACGGCCCAGACUCCAACGGGAGGCAGCAGUGGAGAAUAUUGCACAGUGAGCGGGAGCCUGAUGCAGCGGCGCCGCGUGCGGGAUGACGGCCUUCGGGUUGUAAACCGCAUUCACCUGUGACGAAGCGUGAGUGACGGUAAUGGGUAAAGAAGCACCGGCUAACUACGUG